UAUGGUAAUAGGGCAUCCUAUAAUUAUGAAAGCUAUAUGCGCUGUGAGAGAGCUUUGCGUCCCAUUAGCUAGUUGGAGAGGUAACGGCUCACCAAGGCGAUGAUGGGUAGCCGGCCUGAGAGGGUGAUCGGCCACAAGGGGACUGAGACACGGCCCUUACUCCUACGGGAGGCAGCAGUGGGGAAUAUUGGACAAUGGACCGGGAGUCUGAUCCAGCAAUUCUGUGUGCACGAUGAAGUUUUUCGGAAUGUAAAGUGCUUUCAGUUGGGAAGAAAGAAAUGACGGUACCAACAGAAGAAGUGACGGCUAAAUACGUGCCAGCAGCCGCGGUAAUACGUAUGUCACGAGCGUUAUCCGGAUUUAUUGGGCGUAAAGCGCGUCUAGGUGGUUAUAUAAGUCUGAUGUGAAAAUGCAGGGCUCAACUCUGUAUUGCGUUGGAAACUGUAUAACUAGAGUACUGGAGAGGUAAGCGGAACUACAAGUGUAGAGGUGAAAUUCGUAGAUAUUUGUAGGAAUGCCGAUGGGGAAGCCAGCUUACUGGACAGAUACUGACGCUGAAGCGCGAAAGCGUGGGUAGCAAACAGGAUUAGAUACCCUGGUAGUCCACGCUGUAAACGAUGAUUACUAGGUGUUGGGGGUCGAACCUCAGCGCCCAAGCAAACGCGAUAAGUAAUCCGCCUGGGGAGUACGUACGCAAGUAUGAAACUCAAAGGAAUUGACGGC
RNAcentral lists this ribosomal RNA (723 nucleotides) under uncultured bacterium. RNAcentral's name for it is "bacterial SSU rRNA". It matches the Rfam family "Bacterial small subunit ribosomal RNA", at positions 173 to 917 of the family's 1533-position model. The record is from RNAcentral.